RNAcentral lists this ribosomal RNA (483 nucleotides) under uncultured bacterium. RNAcentral describes it as "partial 16S ribosomal RNA". It matches the Rfam family "Bacterial small subunit ribosomal RNA", at positions 28 to 523 of the family's 1533-position model. The record is from RNAcentral.
GACGAACGCUGGCGGCGUGCUUAACACAUGCAAGUCGAACGGUGAAGCCCAGCUUGCUGGGUGGAUCAGUGGCGAACGGGUGAGUAACACGUGAGUAACCUGCCUCUGACUCUGGGAUAAGCCUUGGAAACGGGGUCUAAUACUGGAUACGAGACGCUCGGGCAUCCGGAGUGUCUGGAAAGAUUUAUCGGUCAGAGAUGGACUCGCGGCCUAUCAGCUUGUUGGUGGGGUAAUGGCCUACCAAGGCGACGACGGGUAGCCGGCCUGAGAGGGCGGCCGGCCACACUGGGACUGAGACACGGCCCAGACGCCUACGGGAGGCAGCAGUGGGGAAUAUUGCACAAUGGGCGCAAGCCUGAUGCAGCGACGCCGCGUGAGGGAUGACGGGCUUCGGGUUGUAAACCUCUUUCAGCAGGGAAGAAGCGAAAGUGACGGUACCUGCAGAAGAAGCGCCGGCUAACUACGUGCCAGCAGCCGCCGCGG